AUUGCCUCAGUAACGGCGAGUGAAGCGGCAACAGCUCAAAUUUGAAAUCUGGCCGCAAGGUCCGAGUUGUAAUUUGUAGAGGAUGCUUUUGGCGAGGUGCCUUCCGAGUUCCCUGGAACGGGACGCCAUAGAGGGUGAGAGCCCCGUACGGUAGGACCACCAAGCCUCUGUAAAGCUCCUUCGACGAGUCGAGUAGUUUGGGAAUGCUGCUCUAAAUGGGAGGUGUACGUCUUCUAAAGCUAAAUACCGGCCAGAGACCGAUAGCGCACAAGUAGAGUGAUCGAAAGAUGAAAAGCACUUUGAAAAGAGGGUUAAAAAGUACGUGAAAUUGUUGAAAGGGAAGCAUUCAUGACCAGACUUGGGCUUGGUUGAACAUCCGGCGUUCUCGCCGGUGCACUCUGCCAGUCCAGGCCAGCAUCAGUUUGCCCCGGGGGAUAAAGGCGGCGGGAAUGUGGCUCCCUUCGGGGAGUGUUAUAGCCCGUCGUGUAAUGCCCUGGGGCGGACUGAGGAACGCGCUUCGGCACGGAUGCUGGCGUAAUGGUCAUCAAUGACCCGUCUUGAAACACGGACCAAGGAGUCGUCUUCGUAUGCGAGUGUUCGGGUGUCAAACCCCUACGCGUAAUGAAAGUGAACGUAGGUGAGAGCUUCGGCGCAUCACCGACCGAUCCUGAUGUUCUCGGAUGGAUUUGAGUAAGAGCAUACGGGGCCGGACCCGAAAGAAGGUGAACUAUGCCUGUAUAGGGUGAAGCCAGAGGAAACUCUGGUGGAGGCUCGCAGCGGUUCUGACGUGCAAAUCGAUCGUCAAAUAUGGCAUGGGGCGAAAGACUAAUCGAACCUUCUAGUAGCU
Molecule: ribosomal RNA, 847 nt
Filed under: Sarocladium kiliense
Lineage: Eukaryota; Fungi; Ascomycota; Sordariomycetes; Hypocreales; Sarocladiaceae
Description: LSU rRNA
Rfam family: Eukaryotic large subunit ribosomal RNA
Source: RNAcentral